Molecule: transfer RNA, 72 nt
Filed under: Camelus dromedarius (Arabian camel)
Lineage: Eukaryota; Metazoa; Chordata; Mammalia; Artiodactyla; Camelidae
Also listed under: 1 other name
Rfam family: tRNA
About the family: Transfer RNA (tRNA) molecules are approximately 80 nucleotides in length.
Source: Rfam by way of RNAcentral
GAGGGUGUAGAUCAGUGUUAGAGUCCGUGCCUAGCAAGCACGAGGUCCUGGGUUCAAUCCCCAGUGCUUCCA